This 444-nucleotide ribosomal RNA is filed under the name uncultured bacterium. RNAcentral describes it as "bacterial SSU rRNA". It matches the Rfam family "Bacterial small subunit ribosomal RNA", at positions 354 to 796 of the family's 1533-position model. The record is from RNAcentral.
GUAGGGAAUAUUGGGCAAUGGUCGGAAGACUGACCCAGCCAUGCCGCGUGCAGGAAGACGGCCCUCUGGGUUGUAAACUGCUUUUAUCUGGGAAGAAAAAGGCCAUGCGUGGCAAAUUGCCGGUACCAGAUGAAUAAGCACCGGCUAACUCCGUGCCAGCAGCCGCGGUAAUACGGAGGGUGCGAGCGUUGUCCGGAUUUAUUGGGUUUACAGGGUGCGUAGGCGGCUGAUUAAGUCAGCGGUGAAAGACUUCGGCUUAACCGGAGCAGUGCCGUUGAUACUGGUUGGCUUGAGUGUCGGAGGGGUACAUGGAAUUGAUGGUGUAGCGGUGAAAUGCAUAGAUACCAUCAGGAACACCGAUAGCGAAGGCAUUGUACUGGCCGACAACUGACGCUGAUGCACGAAAGUGUGGGGAUCGAACAGGAUUAGAUACCCCGGUAGUCC